RNAcentral lists this transfer RNA (72 nucleotides) under Ornithorhynchus anatinus (platypus). It matches the Rfam family "tRNA". From Rfam's summary of the family: Transfer RNA (tRNA) molecules are approximately 80 nucleotides in length. Their secondary structure includes four short double-helical elements and three loops (D, anti-codon, and T loops). The record is from Rfam by way of RNAcentral. Lineage: Eukaryota; Metazoa; Chordata; Mammalia; Monotremata; Ornithorhynchidae.
AGCAGCGUAGCUCAGUGGAAAGAGCACGGGCUUUGAAGUCAGAGGUCAUGAGUUCAAAUCCCAGCUCUGCCA